GUUCCCUACGGGGCGCAGCAGUGAGGAAUAUUGGUCAAUGGACGAGAGUCUGAACCAGCCAAGUAGCGUGAGGGAUGACUGCCCUAUGGGUUGUAAACUUCUUUUAUAAAGGAAUAAAACGAGGCACGUGUGCCUUUUUGCAUGUACUUUAUGAAUAAGGAUCGGCUAACUCCGUGCCAGCAGCCGCGGUAAUACGGAGGAUCCGAGCGUUAUCCGGAUUUAUUGGGUUUAAAGGGAGCGUAGGCGGGCCGUUAAGUCAGUUGUGAAAGUUGGGGGCUCAACCCCGGAAUUGCAGUUGAAACUGC
This 305-nucleotide ribosomal RNA is filed under the name uncultured bacterium. RNAcentral's name for it is "bacterial SSU rRNA". It matches the Rfam family "Bacterial small subunit ribosomal RNA", at positions 334 to 636 of the family's 1533-position model. The record is from RNAcentral.